UGAGCCUCCACUGAUCUCCCAGAGUGAAGACUAAGACUCAGCAUAUAUGCUUCCAGUCAGAUCCAGAACAUAACAUUUAACUUCCUUCAGUCAGCCUCAAGAUUUCAGGUUUUCAUUUGAACACUGCAACUGAAGAAGAAUAAUAUGAUCACUGCAACUGUCCUGAAGAUGUAAAAUAUAGCCAAAAAGAAUACAGAAUCACAUCUACUACCAACAGGUCCAAAUAUCAAGCUUUCUGCUAGACCAGUUAUGAAAAUAUGAGUGUUUCUUAGAUUUAUGUAAA
Molecule: long non-coding RNA, 283 nt
Filed under: Cyanistes caeruleus (blue tit)
Lineage: Eukaryota; Metazoa; Chordata; Aves; Passeriformes; Paridae
Description: lncRNA (ENSCCEG00000018260.1)
Source: RNAcentral